CAAGGGGCAUCCCUCGAACAUUCCUCUCUAAAAAGGAACUUUUAUGCUGCCUUGUUAAUCUUUUCCUUAUAUCAUCGCUCACCCAUCUCACGGCCAUCAUUUAGUUUCCUAACGACCACCUUUGCCAUGUUGCUGCCAUCAUUUUCAUCCUCUUCGUCACCUCUUCUUCACUUCCAUGGAGUUUUAGCUCUUUUACUUCUUGUCAUGAAUGCCAGAGAGAAAAGAACCUAAUCUUCUAUAUCUAUGCUGUAAUUGUCCUAGAAAAUGUGAAGAGGAGGGAUAAAGGAAAGAUGCCCAUUUCCCUUUCAGCCAUGUACCGGUUUCCGAGGUUAUUGGUGGUACUGGAGGAGAGGAAUGUUGACGCAAAAAAGAGACGGAGGAAAAUAUACUCGACUUCAUAUGAGAAAAAUGAUGGUGUGUCGGCUGUGGGAGCAGAGAUGAGGGCAGUAUGGAAAGGCAUUAAUCAUAGCCUCAAACUUUGAUUGAACAUCCUUUAUUUUCUUUCUCAAAGUAAUGUGGGUAAAGCACUUCAACUCCGGUUGGAUGAGGGCAUGUAUUGCAAACUUGAUGUGGAAGUGGUGCUCAUCCAAAAUGGACAAUACAAUCUCCACAUGUUUUUUGGAUUGCUCCAUGGGUCGGAAAGGGACCAAAAUAUCAUCAAAGAAAACAAAAUUUGUCAAGGCUGAGAUACCUCAUUUGUUGCAGCUUGAAUGAUGGACAAUCUUUGCAAGGUAUGCAAAGGGGGCUCUGCUUCCUCUUCUAAUAUGCGAGACGGGUGUUAGAGGCCGAGCACAUUUGAUUAGUGGGAUUCAGCCAUUGUAAUUGAUUGGAUUCGGCGGAUGGAGCCGAUAAGAGGUGACAACUCUCUGUUGCAUGACAUCUGAAGGAUAGGAGGUGGCUGCAGGCCUUUUCAGGCUAUACAUAUAUAUCAUGAGGGAAGCAUGAUCAUGAAUUGGGUUCUUUUUUUUAGCCGCACAGCAUUCUAGCGAGGUCUUUUGGGACAGAUCAGGCGUAACAGAAUUUUUGGCCCAUGCGGAGGCGUUAUCAGCGCGACGCUCUAACUAGCUCUGCUAAUGGGCCGCGUCUACGAAUCUAUGUUCGAAAACUUGAACUCUUUUGAGUUUCUUUCUCCCCCGUCAAAUCAAAAAGAAGGGGGGAAGUCCUCCGUCACGCAGCUCUGAUCUACGUAACCCUAGCUGUCCUCCUCGUCCUCCUCUCCCUCGCCCCCAGCUGCCCUCACCGCCCCCACCAUCGCUUCAAGCUCCGCUCCUCCUUCUCGUUUUCCGCUCCGCUCGGCGCCUACGGCCGCGGGAUCCCCUUCCAUCCCAUCAGCGCCGACAUCGAGCGCCGCCAGGAGGACCGCGAGUGGGAGCGGGCCCACUUCUUCCCCCACCGCGGUGGUGGCGAUUCCGCCCCGGCCAUGGAGGCCCAGCCCGUGUGGGAGGACUUCGUCGAUGCUGAGGACAACAUUGACGACGAGGACCGUUUCAAUGUCAGCCAUCUCAUCAUCGAUCUUUUGCCCAAGAUCGACAUUGGGCCUGCCGACAGCUUCGGGAGCUCCGACGAGCUCACUGAGUGGAACCUCAGGCAGGCGGAGAGGGAGGUGAUGCACCGGACGGAACGGGACAUGGAGCUCCACGACAAGAACCGCUACGGCUUCAUCUCCUUCCACGAAUGAAAGCCCCCAAGCUGGGCCCACCGGUUCGAUGAAAUUUGGUAUCAUCAAAAUUGGAACAUCUUGGAAGGGGUUUCUGUUGGAUGGAUGUCCUUACAUUGGUGAACAACCACAAUAUCAACUUUAUCAAACUUCAUGCUCUCAAGUUAAUUCAUCAAUUAUGUUGGUAUUCCUCUUUUCAUUUUUAAAAUUUACCAAAAUUCUGUGCUGAUCAAGGUUUUUAUCGAACGUCGUCAACUGCCGUAGACGAAUAUGAUGGGAUGAAGAUGGUUGGCCGGAGGGAUGCACACUGGAGAGAUGACACUCGUAAGUUGGACAAGCAGAGAGAGGUAGUGGAUUGAGGGAAGAACGCACCGCUGCGAAUGAAGACAAUAAUACUGAGACAAUGUGAGGAGGAUGAGGCUGUCGACGGACAACGAAGAGACGACGAGUUGCAGGCUAGGAAAGAUGAACGGAGGUGGCGGAGUGAGACAGAUGUGUGGUGUAGUGCAGGGGAAGGUGGAGUUUGAUAAACUGGAAGCAGGAAAGUCGGAAAGAGGGUUAGAGAUUGAAAAAUUAUGAAGGGCAUAAUUGUCCUCCAAGAUCGCGCUUUAACUUAUAACCUCUAUGGACUAGUUUUAUACAGUGAGGGAAAACAUCUUGAGACUUUCUAGUUUUUCUUUAAGAAAAAAGUUGUAAAUAAUAAAACUAAGUGCUUCUUAGAUUUUCAAAAUUCUAGUUACAUGAAGUAAAUCAAAUAUAAAUCUUUCCAUUUAAUUUGUCAUUAGGAUUUAUGUAGCCUUUAGCUCUUGUAUUUGUGAAUCAUAUGCAGUUAUUCACUUUAUUGGUUAGACCAGUCUUAGUGUUUUAUAAAAUUUUGUUGAGAAGAAGCGAAGAGAACUUAUUAUGGCAAUGUGCUAUUAAAAAAUCAACACUUUAACAUGCUAAAAGAUCCUGAAUACUAUUCUAAAUUUGAAUUACUAAUUUGUCGUAAUGACUAUGGUUUCAUAGCACAUUAAUAUAUUUGAAUCAUACAGGCAUAAGUCUACUUGGUUCUAUGAUGAGUGAUACUAAAAUGGCAAAUAAAUCCUACUUAGAAAAGGAAAACAUACAGAUAACAUAGAACUUGUCCAUAGGGGUUAUUAGUUAAAGCACGGUCCCUGGAGGAUAAUUAUGUCCUCCAUAAUUUUUUAAUCCCUAACCCUCUUUUCAACUUCUUCGUUUCUAGUUCGUCAAACUUUACGUUCCCCUGCACUACACCAUGUAUUCGUCUCACACCGCCACCUCCAUCCAUCUUUCUAGCCUGCAACUCGUUGUCUCUCUGGUGUCCGUCGACAGCGAGGUCCUCAUCCUCCUCACAUCGUCCUAGCUAACUGCUGCCACUGUCUUCAUCUAUAGCGGUGCGUUCUCCCCUCAAUCCACUACCUCUCUCUGCCUGUCCGAUAUGCGAGUGCCGUCUUUUUAGCAUGUGUCCUGGGCCAACCACCUUCGUCUCAUUGUAUUCGUCCGUAGCAGUUGUUGACGCUUGAUAAAAAGAAGGUAAAAGCCUUGAUCAACACUGAAUUUUUGUGGAUUUUGAAAACGAAAAGAGGUAUACAAACAUAAUUGAUUAAUUAACUUGAGAGCAUGAAGUUUGAUAUGGUAUGCUUAAUUUCGGUUUCAUGAUAUUAUGGUUGUGAUGAUUGUAUCUCCAUAACCUCACCUCAGCCCUUAGUCAUCAUUAUCCUUUUAAUGAUCUCACAUGGUAAAGAUUGUAGUUGCCUGUUGGAAUAAGUCCGAUACGGUCAAGAAAAUUUCCUUUUGGUACCUUUAGAGGGAUUUCAGAGAGACAUGUUGAGUGCAAAAUAAUGAUGAAGUAAAUGACAAAAACUUUAUGUCUUCUUUAACUUUCUAGGGAUAAAUUGAGUGGCUUCUCGUCAAAGUUCUUAAACACCUCUAUUAAUCUUUAACGCAUCAUAUCUCUCUCUUCUGGGAAGUAAUGCCAAGUUUUUCUUCCGUUGCUUGCUUUUUAAGGAUUGAACCAAAUUCACUCCAUGUAGGAUGAGAUUCCUUAAUGCUGGACCAACUAGGUGCAGCUUAUUCAUAUACUGCCACCAUUUAUUUGUAAUUUUUAGCAUGAGAAUCACACAGUGAUGCAAUGACCUGCGCUCUAAUCCCAUCUAGUGCAGGUUUGGUGGGGAAUUGGAUUGCAAAGAUGAUGAAAACACAAGGCAUUGUAAGAAAGGAAUAAGAUACUAUGUAUAAGAAGAGUUGUAAAAAGAAUUUAUUUCAUUAAAUCCAGCAUACAGGAUUUUUUUAAAAAAAAAAACCCAGAAAAUUCAUUAUUAGUGCUACAUAUAGAUGUCACGUUUGCAUUGUUAUAAAACUGCAGACCUAAAACCAUGAUUUUAUCCUCAAAGAUUUGUAGUAUAAAUAUGAGUCCUUAUAUAUAAUUCAACUGAAAUUACGUUCCAAUUAUUCAAGCUUGCUAAUGUUAAGAACUUUACUACAAUAACAAGUUAACCACCUUUGAACUUAGGAUAUCCUAGUCAGACUAAGGCAUGAAACUUUAGUCACUUGACUACUUAGUCAACAGACUUUGUUCUAUGUCUUUGAAUCCAGAGAGAUACUAUCUGCUAAAAGUUGUUAACAUCUUCAGAGCUAUAAUUUUGCUUCAACAUAGGCCUGAAACAAAUUUCUGGAUGAAUUUGUGGAGGCAACUGGCUCAUUUAUUAGUUGUCCACUUUUCUACGAGUAGGCAAAGCAAAGAGGUCAGUUUCUCCAUCAUUCACUAUUUCUAUCCACAAUGAUCGUUGCUUCCAUACAUCUACUCUGUCAACGACAGACUAAUGCUUCCACAAGCUUUUAGCAUAUAUUAGGCAAAGCCUUUGUCUGUGGUCCAGGACAAGUUUAUCAAGAAAUAGGAAGUGUUACAAGCUAGGCCUAUUGGGUCCCUAUAUAUUGUUUUAUUGCAUAUAAGUUCUUUGUAACUGUUCUUAUGUGCUGGUUAUUUUACAAGUGCUGUAUAUGCAACUAUGGCGUAUUAGAAGGUGUAGCCUUGGGCCAUUGGUCUUGUUAGUGGAUUUAUCAUGCACAAAAAAUUUCCUGAUAAUUGCUUAAGUUACAACUUCAUAGUUUUAUAACUUGAGAUAUAAGUAGUUUAGCACUCUUACAGCAUGAGCAUCAUUUAUGAUAGGAUUGCUAACUGGAUUUAAGUUUUUUUUCAAGGGAAAGAGAUAAAGACAGAGAUGGAAAGCUUAAUUUUCCAGAAUAUUUUAAUGGGUUAUUUUAUUUACUUCGAAAUUAUGAUGAAGUAUACAAUCCUACAGAUCAGUCCGAUACUUCAGUGGAGGCACCAGCUAAGAAAUUAUUCUCACAGGUUGACGAAGAGAAUGAUGGGUAUGGGUCAACAGAUCUGUAUUUGCUAUCUUAAAUAGGGCAGAUAGAAAUAUAGAUGGACGCUUAAGUUUGAGAGAAAUGAUUGAUAGCCCCUAUGUAUUGUACAGCGUUUUUUAGUGAGGAAGAUGAGGAUGGAUUUCACGGCGAAUUACGGUAUUCUCUUCAGGUCUGGAUCUAAGCUAACCCUUGAGCUUAGCAGCACCGGACUGUGAUACCUGGGUUUUCCAUGAUUUGCUGCAAGCGCGAUUCUUUUCAGUUUCAAUUUAUUUUGUGCUGGAAGAUCGACCUGUUCCACAUCUAAGUGCAUAAUGUACAAUACAAUAGCCAAGGAUAUGUAUUACACUAAAUUUUCUCGUGCAACUCUAGACUAAGUUCUUUGCUGAACAGAACUUGAUUCAAGUUGAAGUAUCUCUCAUCUUCGGAUGUAGCAUAUGGUUGUCGUGUCUGGGUAUUUUCUGGCCGUCGAAGAGCGACAAGAAGUACAAGCACUGGAGAACAAGAAGGUGCCAACAAAUGAAGCAAAAUUAACACCUGCAAACACUGGUCUUUCUGGGUCACAGCAGGAACCAGGACAAAAGGUCAGAGCAGCUUCAGCACAAACUAGUCGGCCCGAUGACUGCAUUUGAUGCAGGAAAGGAGAAGCUGUUUGCCUCCAGUGAACAGUUGUGCGAAUUCAAAUAAGAGCAGAGCCAUACUGUAGAUGCCCAGAGAAGUCACUUGUAAACGGGGCGCCGGGAGAGUUGGAACUUGGGACAUAGCAAGCUCAGCGCCGAUACCUGACCACUCAGCUCAAGGCCACUCUGUACUGCACUCGGUCCAAGACAGUUCUACCGUGUUCUUAGGUACUAUUAUUGGAAGAUUAGCUUGGUGAACUUGGGCUGGUCUAAGUUUCAACUUAGCUGGCUAGGGUUAUUUAGCCUUAAGCCAUGAUUAGCGUACUGUGUACAUACAAAAUAAGAUGUGUUCAUUUAACAUUUUGAUCAAAUGUAUUUAAUUAGUGUUUUUCUUUUCUUGACCAAAAUGGUCAGAAAGACGACCACAGGCUUCAUUGGAGAUAAAACAGGUAUACAAUGGAAAUUUGAAGAAAAUCAGAACAAACA
Phoenix dactylifera (date palm) is the source of this 6132-nucleotide non-coding RNA. NCBI's taxonomy places the organism in Eukaryota, Viridiplantae, Streptophyta, Magnoliopsida, Arecales, Arecaceae. The record is from RefSeq and is a predicted model, not a curated record.